GCACAAUGGUGCAGAGGUUAGAGCUCUUGACUUGCAUUAAGGAGACUCCAGGUUUGAACCCUGGUUGGCG
Molecule: non-coding RNA, 70 nt
Organism: Gymnothorax javanicus (giant moray)
Lineage: Eukaryota; Metazoa; Chordata; Actinopteri; Anguilliformes; Muraenidae
Source: the annotation of a GenBank genome assembly